RNAcentral lists this unclassified non-coding RNA (293 nucleotides) under uncultured fungus. RNAcentral describes it as "sequence contains ITS1". The record is from RNAcentral. Lineage: Eukaryota; Fungi.
UGGACUACAGGGGUUUCUAAUCCUGUUUGCUCCCCACGCUUUCGUGCAUGAGCGUCAAUAUUAUCCCAGGGGGCUGCCUUCGCCAUUGGUAUUCCUCCACAUCUCUACGCAUUUCACUGCUACACGUGGAAUUCUACCCCCCUCUGACAUAUUCUAGUCUUGUAGUUUCAAACGCAGUUCCUAAGUUGAGCUCAGGGAUUUCACAUCUGACUUACAAAACAGCCUGCGCACGCUUUACGCCCAGUAAUUCCGAUUAACGCUCGCACCCUACGUAUUACCGCGGCGGCUGGCAC